GAGCCCUCUACAGAGACGUAAUGCAGGAGAACUAUGAGACGGUGAUCUUUCUGGGGUUUCUAGUUUCCAAACCUGAUGUGAUCUCACAGCUGGAACGAGGGGAAGAGCUGUGGGUCCCAGAUCUCCAGGGCUCUGAGAAAGAAGUGCUCCCAAGAGCUGCCUGCACAGGAAGUGACCUAUGUCUGGAUCCUCUCUCUCUCCCAUCGGGUGAUGGGAAGGUGAGUGAGAACGAGGAGAAACCCUGGCAGGAAGAUGCUGAGCAAAGAGAAGCACAUGGGAUGUUAUCAGGAAAAUCCAAAGGGAAUGUUUCUGGAAGUUGUGCACUCCCAGAAAAAGCAAAAGCCUGUGAGAGUCAGCACAGGCCAGAGGAAAACUUCAGUAGCCACUCAGACCUUAUUAAAUGUGAGAGAAUUAACUUGGAAGAGACAUGCUACACAUGCCAUGUGUGUGGGAAAAGCUUCAAUGGGAGCUCUGACCUUCUCACACAUCAGAGAAUCCACAGAGGAGAGAAACCCUACACGUGCUCUGAGUGUGGGAAAAGCUUCAGUUAUAACUCACACCUUAUUAUACAUCAGAGAAUCCACACCGGAGAGACACCCUACACAUGCUCUGAGUGUGGGAAAAGCUUCAGUCAGAGCUCAAACCUUAUCACGCAUUACAGAAUCCACACUGGCAUGUCACCCUACAGAUGUUCUGAGUGUGGGAAAAGCUUCAGUCAUAGCUCAGCCCUUAUUAGACACCAGGGAAUCCACACUGCAGGGAGACCCUACACAUGCUCUGAGUGUGGGAAAACCUUCAGGCUUAGCUCAGCCCUUACCAUACAUUGGAAAAUCCACAGUGGAGAGACACCCUACACAUGCAAUAACUGCGGGAAAAGCUUCAGCCAUAGCUCAGCCCUUAUUAGACACCGGAGAAUCCACACGGGUGAGAUGCCCUACACGUGCUCUGAGUGUAGGAAACCUUUCAGGCACAGCUCAGCCCUUACCAUACAUUGGAGAAUCCACAGUGGAGAGAGACCCUACACAUGCAAUAACUGUGGGAAAAGCUUCAGGCAUAGCUCAGCCCUUAUUAGACAUCAGAAAAUCCACAUGGGCGAGAACUGUAACAAAUGCCUUGACUAGGGCUGGCCAAAGUGUUGUUUUUUGUUUUUAAAUCGCAUUUGCUAAUUCCCACAUAGCGAUCUUUGCACCGUCUUCACCGUGGUCUGUCAGCUCCCCCAGAUGAGUUGCCUGCUUCUGCCUUUUGCAGCUCACCCUUCUUUGGGGUCAAUGUUGUGCUGGAGAGCAGAUAUUUUUACCACCAUUUUCCUCACUUAAAAUAUAUUGAACUAUAACAAAGAGUAGGAACAGGGCAGGGAUAGGGAAAAAUGUAAUUUACCCUCUGUAACAACAGAAGAAGAUAGGGUAAGUCAGAGGGAUUCCCUUAUUCACCAUACCAAUCCCCAUGUUGUUCAAUUGGUUAGGCCAAUAUUUUUUCUAAAGGGCUGGGAGGAGGAUUCCCUAGUAAAUGACUUGGGACUAAGCAAAAUACCCAUGCAUUUGACUCCCAAAGCAGUUGUGGCCCAGGGCCUGCAGGAGAUGGCUCCUGAAGAUAUCUCCUUCCUAAUCAGGUGCAUGUUGCCUAUUAUUUGGGAAAUGCAAUCCCUAGCUAGGUAGAGAUGGGCGAAAAAUGGAAGUGAUGUUUCUGUUCAGCUCACCCCUGGGAGAUGCUGCAAAUGUAUAGAAAAUGAAAUCCUUGUUGAAUGUGAUAGAGCUGCAGAAAGAUACCUAUUUUUAAUAGAUUCCUGACUUUUGGUGUCUUACAGGGAUUCUAAGCCGCACCUGAAUUUAGUCCCUAAUUUAAAUCUGUGCCACCAGAUUAAAGAAAUAAAAGGGCAUAUGUGGGGGAGUUAUACCUCACUACUACAACUGGUAUGUUGUGUGGUUGGUGAAGAAUUCUACGCCAGAGAAGUGUAAAAUUACUCCAAGUAAUGUCAAAGAUUUGACAAGAACUCAGGUAGAAAUGGCAGGUACGCGUGGUUGAUUUUCACCGCAGAGAUGGAAGCUAUGAUGACCUUUGGCCCAGGUAAAGUAUUUUUGGAAGGCUGCUCCCUAGUUAAGUGGCAUUGAUCACACUCCUAAAGGAUGCCAUGAUUAAAUUGGGAACAGCUGUCUUUUACCAUUUGGAUCCAAAGGUUUGCGAAGCACAGAGAGAAACAGCUGAUUCCUUCAGAGCCAUUCCAUGCCUGUGGGUCCCAAUCUGGCUGCCUUGUUGGACAAGAAGCAUUUCCAUGCUGGGCAAAUGAUGGUAGCCAAUGGGGGAGUGCGUCAGAUUCCAAGUUCAGACUGCAGGAUACAUGAAUGCUGAGUCCUGACUCUGGGGUUUGGUCUCUUAGUUUUGCUCUUAAUCUAGUGCAUUUGUAUCACUUCACGUUCUGCUACUGUGAAAGAUUAGAAAGUGUGAAAAUAGAGCACAGAUGGUUUUUCUCAUGAUGCAACCUUCCCACAUAGUGUGAGACCCGGGGAGACAUGAACUCACAGAAAUGGAAGCCUCCUAGGUUAUUGUAGAAUGUGAGUUCACACAAAGCUCACUGGGUGGAAAUGGGAAUUAAGAGAAGACUUCCCUAUAGGUUUAUAUUUUGUAAUCUUUGAAUAAGUUGUUACCAGCGACAAAUUAAACAUGAAGUUAAUUAGUGUAAUGUAAGAGGCUGAUUAUGUGAUAACUUUGUGUUACAAUAUAAUUCAGCUUUUCUUCUAGCUCUCUCCCUGCCCCCUCCUACUAUAUAGGAAAUGGUAGCUGGAAUUAAAGCCUCACUCCAAAGGAAUUAGAGUGGGGGAAUAUGUGAGUGAAAUAGUAUUUACGAGAAUAGAGACCCAGGAUAGACUAAUUAAUUCUAUUUAAAAUGGAAUUUAUUUCAAUAAAUUUUAAAAUAAAUCUUCCGUUAAAAGAGGAAAAUUACUUGAGACAAGAUGUGAACCUUUUAUCCAGUGAGAGGGUAACAGCCACAGAUUUCCCCAGGUCUCUUGUUUGCAAAGCAAAGAUGUCACAUCAGGCAGGAGAUGUCAAAAUCUAAAAUGGUGAUGGUAGCUUUCCUGGUUUUUUGUUUUUGUUUGGUUUUUAAUUUAAUUUGUUUUAGCAACCAGGCCCCUUUUCCUUUGGAGCACAACGCUUUAACUCUCAGGCCUGGCUCUGGAAACCUCCUCAGAACUGGCCUUGUGUUUCUUUCAUGUUUAAUAUCUUUGGGGUUCACACACCCACACUACAUGCGGUUCACAGCAACAGAUACUUUCAGAAACCUACUGCGUUAAGCGGACCUUUUCCAAACUGACAUUAGCCCAAAGUCUGCCUUAAUUCAGCUGGAUUGGGACACAUCUGUAUCAAAGGAAUGGUUCACAUCUGAUUUGCCCAGGGACCUCGGGGGAGGUGUGGUAAAAUACGAUAAGUAGGAGUCAACAACAAUAAAGGUAAGGAUGAAAGACCCUCACCUUGCAGGUCAACAAACCUGUUCUGUUCAUUCCCUCUGAUGCAUCUGGCACUGGUCACUCUCCAGCAGCACACUGGGCUCCAUGGACCAUUGGUCUGACCCAAUGACCAGUCUUGCGUUCUUAUGUUAAGUAAGUCCUCUACGGCCUUGUCUACGCUGGCAAGUUUCUGCACAGGAAAGGAGCUUUCUGCAGUGUAACUUCGGAGUUCUACAAACUGCCAAGCCAUUUAGUGCUCAGAAAGUGCGCAGUUGCAGCACUGUAAAAAAAAGCCACCCUGACGAGCAGCGUAGAGCUGUCUGCGCCAGGGCUACAGCGCCGCGGUGCCAGUGUAGACACCCUGAUCGAUGACAGCACUGUGACUGGCCUCCGGGAGGUGUCCCACAAUCCCUGUUCUCGCCUCUCUGGUCAUUUGUUUGAUCUCUACUGCCCUGCCCUCAAUGACCAACCGUGAACCUCCCCCCCCUUAAAUUCCUUGGGAAUUUUGAAAGUCCCCUUCCUGUUUGCUCAGUGACUCAUGCAAUGGUGUCAGCGCAUCUUUCCAGGUGACCAUGCCUGCUCUGCACACCAGGCGAUCCUCCGCUUGGAGCAAUGCCGAGCUGUUGAAUCUCAUCACCAUUUGGGGAGUGGAGGCUGUCCAGUCCCAGCUGUGCUCCAGCCGUAGGAAUUAUGACAACAGACAGAUUUCAUGAUGCACGAGAGAAAGGGGCCGUGACUGGGACACACUGCAUUGCAGGGUCAAAGUGAAGGAGCUGUGGAACGCCUACCACAAAGCACAGGAGACAACCCCCUCCCCCGGUGCUGUGCCCAAAAGCUCCCAGUUCUACAAAGAGCUGGAUGCGAUACGCGGUGGUGACCCCACCUCCACUGCAAAGCCCACUGUGGAUACUUCGGUGGCUCACAUGCCAAUCGAGAGUGGACCGAGCCAGGAGGAGGAAAUCUUGGACGAGGAUGUGGAGGUGGAGGAGGACCCAGAGGCAGAGGACAACUCGGAGGUCAGAGAUGCAUGGAGCCCGGAGUUCUUCUCUACCCCAGAGGAGGCUAGCCAGUCACAGCAGUCGGAGUUGGCGAAGCACAAACAGGAGAGGAGGCCUUUGAUAUGACCUUAGGAGCCCAGCCUCCCUCUUUGUUAUCGGCAGCUGAACGGCUGUGCAAAAUUAGAAAGCGGCCAUGAAGAACUUAAGAGAGCUUUCUAUGUGAUGUCACGAUGCACUCCACGGCCAAAAAACCAGAAUUGAAGGAGUGGCAGAACAGCGAGAAGGGGGACUGAAAGGAGAACGCGGUGCACCAGAUCGAAGCCAUAGGGUGGUUCUUAAACGUUAUGGAGUGCUAAUUGGACAUGCUCCAGGCGCUACUUGCACUGCAAACCAAGUAGCUGUGUGCCCGACCUCCCCUGCAGCCACUGUCGCAAAACUCUUUUCCAUGCACCCCCUGACACUGUCAACACACUCUUAUCAACCACCUGGCUCCAGUCUGUACCUGCUGCAUUCCACUCCUGCCCCAUCACAGUCCAGCCCUGCAGACUCCCAGUACCCACUACACUCAACACCUGUCUCUCGGCAGUUUAUUAUUGCUGAAGUACAGUACCCACUGCAAUGUACUCCAAUGAGUAAGAUUGCAUGUGAUACCUGGACAUACACAAAUCUUUAACUGUCCUAGGACCUCACCUCCUCAUGGGACCCUCCCUUCCCCCAUCCCCCACAGUGUUGAUGUGGUUUUUGUUUGUUUGUCUCUCUCCUCCAGUGGUUGCUUUUUAAUAAAAGAAUAGUUUUGGUUUGAAA
Chelonia mydas (Green sea turtle) is the source of this 5242-nucleotide RNA transcript. It is a transcript of the gene named zinc finger protein 135, with no coding region annotated. Lineage: Eukaryota; Metazoa; Chordata; Testudines; Cheloniidae. The record is from RefSeq and is a predicted model, not a curated record. The transcript is spliced from 6 exons.